CCGUAGGUGAACCUGCGGAAGGAUCAUUAUUGAAAUAAACCUGAUGAGUUGCUGCUGGUUCUCUAGGGAGCAUGUGCACACUUGUCACCUUUAUAUCUUCACCUGUGCACCUUUUGUAGACCUGGAUAUCUCUCUGAAUGCUUWAAAGCAUUCAGGUUUGAGGAUUGGCUUUAGUCUCUUCCUCACAUUUCUGGGCCUAUGUUUCCUUAUAAACCCCAAUGCAUGUCGUAGAAUGUAAUACAAUGGGCCUUUGUGCCUAUAAACCUAUACAACUUUCAGCAACGGAUCUCUUGGCUCUCGCAUCGAUGAAGAACGCAGCGAAAUGCGAUAAGUAAUGUGAAUUGCAGAAUUCAGUGAAUCAUCGAAUCUUUGAACGCACCUUGCGCUCCUUGGUAUUCCGAGGAGCAUGCCUGUUUGAGUGUCAUUAAUAUAUCAACCUCUUCAACUUUUACUUGUUGAGUGUUUGGAUGUGGGGGUCUUUUUUUGCUGGCCUCUCUUAUGAGGUCAGCUCCCCUGAAAUGCAUUAGCGGAACAAUUUUGUGUUGACCGUUCAUUGGUGUGAUAACUAUCUACGCUUUUGACGUGAAGCAGUUCAGCUUAUAACAGUCCAUUGACUUGGACAACUUUUAUUAAUGUGACCUCAAAUCAGGUAGGACU
This 657-nucleotide ribosomal RNA is filed under the name Cortinarius aff. anisodorus PDD 104633. Its description in RNAcentral is "eukaryotic LSU rRNA". The record is from RNAcentral. Lineage: Eukaryota; Fungi; Basidiomycota; Agaricomycetes; Agaricales; Cortinariaceae.